UACGUAGGGGGCAAGCGUUGUCCGGCAUUAUUGGGCGUAAAGAGCGCGUAGGCGGUCCGGUAAGUCAGCUGUGAAAGUCAAGGGCUCAACCCUUGAAUGCCGGUUGAUACUGUCGGGCUAGAGUCCGGAAGAGGCGAGUGGAAUUCCCGGUGUAGCGGUGAAAUGCGCAGAUAUCGGGAGGAACACCAAUGGCGAAGGGAGCUCGCUGGGACGGUACUGACGCUGAGACGCGAAAGCGUGGGGAGCGAACAG
This 252-nucleotide ribosomal RNA is filed under the name uncultured bacterium. RNAcentral describes it as "partial 16S ribosomal RNA". It matches the Rfam family "Bacterial small subunit ribosomal RNA", at positions 524 to 775 of the family's 1533-position model. The record is from RNAcentral.